This 830-nucleotide ribosomal RNA is filed under the name uncultured organism. RNAcentral's name for it is "bacterial SSU rRNA". It matches the Rfam family "Bacterial small subunit ribosomal RNA", at positions 686 to 1510 of the family's 1533-position model. The record is from RNAcentral.
AUGCGAAGAUAUCUAGGAGAAGGCCCGGUGGCGAAAGCGACUCUCUGGUCUGUUACUGACGCUGAGGUGCGAGAGCGCAGGUAGCGAACGGGAUUAGAUACCCCGGUAGUCUGUGCCGUAAACGAUGGGCACUAGAUGGUGGAGGCGCCGAUAGCUUUCUCCGUCGCAGCUAAUACGUUAAGUGCCCCGCCUGGGGAGUAUGGCCGCAAGGUUAAAACUCAAAGGAAUUGACGGGGGCCCACACAAGCGGUGGAGGAUGUGGCUUAAUUCGAGGAUACCCGUAAAACCUUACCGAGGCUUGACAUGCAGGUGGUAGUGAAGUGAAAGCGGAACGACCCGAAUAGGGAGCCUGCACAGGUGCUGCAUGGCUGUCGACAGCUCGUGUCGUGAGAUGUUAGGUUAAGUCCUGUAACGAGCGAAACCCUUGUGCUUAAUUGCCAGCGCGUUAUGGCGGGGACCUUAAGCAGACUGCCCCGGCCAACGGGGAGGAAGGUGGGGAUGACGUCAAGUCAGCAUGGCCUUUAUGCCUCGGGCUGCACACGUCCUACAAUGGGCUGUACAAUGGGGACCCAAACCGCAAGGUGGAGGAAAUCCUAUAAAGCAGUCCUCAGUUCGGAUUGCAGGCUGAAAUUCGCCUGCAUGGAGAUGGAAUCGCUAGUAAUCGCCGGUCAGCAUACGGCGGUGAAUACGUCCCUGGGCCUUGUACACACCGCCCGUCAAGCCACCCGAGUUGGGAGCACCCGAAAUCCGAGACUUAACCGCAAGGAUGGCUCGGCUGAAGGUGAAUCCGAUAAGGUGGACUAAGUCGUAACAAGGUAACCAAGGGCGAA